RNAcentral lists this ribosomal RNA (484 nucleotides) under uncultured bacterium. RNAcentral describes it as "bacterial SSU rRNA". It matches the Rfam family "Bacterial small subunit ribosomal RNA", at positions 28 to 502 of the family's 1533-position model. The record is from RNAcentral.
GAUGAACGCUAGCUACAGGCUUAACACAUGCAAGUUGAGGGGCAGCAUGGUCUUAGCUUGCUAAGGCCGAUGGCGACCGGCGCACGGGUGAGUAACACGUAUCCAACCUGCCGUCUACUCUUGGACAGCCUUCUGAAAGGAAGAUUAAUACAAGAUGGCAUCAUGAGUCCGCAUGUUCACAUGAUUAAAGGUAUUCCGGUAGACGAUGGGGAUGCGUUCCAUUAGAUAGUAGGCGGGGUAACGGCCCACCUAGUCUUCGAUGGAUAGGGGUUCUGAGAGGAAGGUCCCCCANAUUGGAACUGAGACACGGUCCAAACUCCUACGGGAGGCAGCAGUGAGGAAUAUUGGUCAAUGGACGAGAGUCUGAACCAGCCAAGUAGCGUGCAGGAUGACGGCCCUAUGGGUUGUAAACUGCUUUUAUAAGGGAUAAACGAAUCCACGUGUGGAUUUUUGCAUGUACCGUAUGAAUAAGGAUCGGCUAACU